Molecule: ribosomal RNA, 436 nt
Filed under: uncultured bacterium
Lineage: Bacteria
Description: bacterial SSU rRNA
Rfam family: Bacterial small subunit ribosomal RNA
Source: RNAcentral
GGCGAACGGGUGAGUAACACGUGGGUAAUCUGCCCUCGGCACCGGAAUAGCCCGGGAAACCCGGAUUAAUGCCGGAUGGCCUCUCUGCCCUUCGGGGCGGCGAGAAAAGGUAGCUUCGGCCUCCGGCCGAGGAUGAGCCCGCGGCCGAUUAGCUUGUUGGUGAGGUAACGGCUCACCAAGGCGACGAUCGGUAGCUGGUCUGAGAGGACGAUCAGCCACACUGGGACUGAGACACGGCCCAGACUCCUACGGGAGGCAGCAGUGGGGAAUCUUGCGCAAUGGGCGAAAGCCUGACGCAGCGACGCCGCGUGCGGGAAGAAGGCCUUCGAGUUGUAAACCGCUUUCAGGAGGGACAGAAGCCACUCGGGUUAAUAGCCUAGAGGGUGACGGUAACCUCCAGAAGAAGCCCCGGCUAACUACGUGCCAGCCGCCGCGG